AUUUGGUUUAGGAUUUGUUUAGAAUUUAAGAUUUAGUUAGUUUUUGGCCUAAAGUUUGAAUGAAGUCUAAUAGGAUUUUAACUAGAAUUAAAUUAAGAUUGAAUUGAGAUAUAUUUGAGAUAUAUUUGUGAUCAUCCUAAUAUUUUUUUAAGAUUUCUUAUUAUUUCUUUGCAAUUCCUUUGAGAUUUCAUUGAAUUUGAUUAAAGCGUG
RNAcentral lists this long non-coding RNA (210 nucleotides) under Physcomitrium patens. RNAcentral describes it as "long non-coding RNA (PPAT_LNC010150)". The record is from RNAcentral. Lineage: Eukaryota; Viridiplantae; Streptophyta; Bryopsida; Funariales; Funariaceae.